CGGGACGUGGCGCAGCCUGGUAGCGCACUGGUCUGGGGGACCAGGGGUCGCGGGUUCAAAUCCCGCCGUCCCGA
This 74-nucleotide transfer RNA is filed under the name Actinomycetota bacterium. Its description in RNAcentral is "tRNA-Pro". It matches the Rfam family "tRNA". Rfam says of the family: Transfer RNA (tRNA) molecules are approximately 80 nucleotides in length. Their secondary structure includes four short double-helical elements and three loops (D, anti-codon, and T loops). The record is from RNAcentral. RNAcentral also lists the same sequence under 1 other name. Lineage: Bacteria; Bacillati; Actinomycetota.